RNAcentral lists this small nuclear RNA (111 nucleotides) under Canis lupus familiaris (dog). Lineage: Eukaryota; Metazoa; Chordata; Mammalia; Carnivora; Canidae. RNAcentral also lists the same sequence under 1 other name. The record is from RNAcentral.
GUGCUUGCUUCAGCAGCAUAUAGACUAAGAUUGGACAACACAGAGAUAGAUCAGUAUGGCCCUUGCACAAGAAUGACAUGUAACCUCUCCAGAGAGUAUGGUAUGAUUCUU